This 307-nucleotide ribosomal RNA is filed under the name Thromidia catalai. RNAcentral describes it as "partial 12S ribosomal RNA". The record is from RNAcentral. Lineage: Eukaryota; Metazoa; Echinodermata; Asteroidea; Spinulosida; Mithrodiidae.
UUUUCAAAUCUACCUGGAGGAGCUUGCUAUUUAACCGAUAACCCGCGAAAUACCUCACCAGUUUUAGCAACACCAGCUUGUAUACCAUCGUCGUCAGUUUACCUUUCGAAAGAAGUAAACAUAAAGGGAUAAACCCCUCAACGUCAGAUCGAGGUGCAGCUAAUAGACUGGGAAUCAGUGAGCUACAAUAAAUUGCACAAACCAAAAUCAUAUUUGAAUUACCUCAUGAAAUUGAAGUAUAAAAAAGGAUUCAGAAGUAAUGCUUAACAGAGAGUAAGCAUGAAAUAAUUUAAGCUCUGAAAUACGU